AUUGAACGCUGGCGGCAGGCCUAACACAUGCAAGUCGAGCGCGAAAGUCUUCGGAUGAGUAAAGCGGCGAACGGGUGAGUAAUGCAUGGGAAUCUGCCUGGUAGUGGGGGACAACGUCUCGAAAGGGACGCUAAUACCGCAUACGCCCUACGGGGGAAAGGGGGGGAUCUUCGGACCUCUCGCUAUCAGAUGAGCCCAUGCCGGAUUAGCUAGUUGGGGGGGUAAAGGCCCACCAAGGCGACGAUCCGUAGCUGGUCUGAGAGGAUGAUCAGCCAACCUGGAACUGAGACACGGUCCAGACUCCUACGGGAGGCAGCAGUGGGGAAUAUUGGACAAUGGGGGCAACCCUGAUCCAGCGAUGCCGCGUGUGUGAAGAAGGCCUUAGGGUUGUAAAGCACUUUCAGUGGGGAGAAAGGUGAUUCACCUAAUACGUGAGUCAAUUGAUGCUACCCACAGAAGAAGCACCGGCUAACUCCGUGCCAGCAGCCGCGGUAA
This 495-nucleotide ribosomal RNA is filed under the name uncultured bacterium. Its description in RNAcentral is "partial 16S ribosomal RNA". It matches the Rfam family "Bacterial small subunit ribosomal RNA", at positions 30 to 523 of the family's 1533-position model. The record is from RNAcentral.